Non-coding RNA from Gorilla gorilla gorilla (western lowland gorilla), 319 nucleotides. The record is from Rfam. Lineage: Eukaryota; Metazoa; Chordata; Mammalia; Primates; Hominidae.
GGAUGUGAGGGUGAUCUGGCUGUGACAUCUGUCACCCCAUUGCUCACCUGGGUUGAUUUGGCUGAUCUGGCUGGCUAGGCAGAUGUCCCCUUCCUCCCUCACUGCUCCAUGUGUGUCCCUCCUGAAGCUGCGCGCUCUUGUGGAGAGGACGACCAUCCCCGAUAGAGGAGGACUUACCUUCAGUCAAGGGUAUAUUAGCUGUGCUCCCCUGCUAGAACCUCCAAACAAGCUCUCAAAACAGUAUAUGAGAUGUGUGUAUACUUUAAAAGUAUUAGUCAUUUAUCUGACAUUCAAAUUUAUCUGAGAAUCCUUUACUGUU